ACUCAUCGAGAAAAAGUACAACAUAAGUGGACAUGUAUAUUUCACAAGCGUAAAAGAAGUAACGCAAGUGCAUGAGCUUAGUCAUGAUCAAUGUUGAAAAAGAUGAGUAUGAUCUUCAUGUUCUACUCUUAGAUUACAUGUAAUGUACUUGUAUUUUUAAGGAUUGAUAUGACGAAGGCAUUUCAUUCUACUACACAAAUGUUGUGUCAUCCAUUGUUACCUCUUUUGAGCUUUAGUGUUAUUUUCUUUCG
RNAcentral lists this long non-coding RNA (251 nucleotides) under Capsicum annuum. RNAcentral describes it as "long non-coding RNA (CANN_LNC013531)". Lineage: Eukaryota; Viridiplantae; Streptophyta; Magnoliopsida; Solanales; Solanaceae. The record is from RNAcentral.